RNAcentral lists this long non-coding RNA (319 nucleotides) under Mytilus galloprovincialis (Mediterranean mussel). The record is from RNAcentral. Lineage: Eukaryota; Metazoa; Mollusca; Bivalvia; Mytilida; Mytilidae.
GACGAAAAUUUGAAGAAACAUGAAUGUGUCCCUAGUACACGGAUGCCUCAUCUACACUAUCAUUUUCUAUGUUUAGUGGACUAUGAAAAUGGGAUAAAACUGUAAUUUGGCAUUAGAAUUAAAAAGAUCAUACCAUAGGGAAAAUGUGUACUAAGUUUCAAUUUUAUUUAACUUGAAGCUGGACAAACAAACAGACGAACGGACGAACGUACGCACAGACCAGAAAAAACAUAAUGCCAAUAAAUGGAGCAUUAAAAACAUUAAUAAUACAUACGAAUAUUUGGUAAUCGAGCCCAUGUGUAUGGUUCCAGAGGAAGCA